CGUGAAGCCUUGUUUGGCCUCCCCA
RNAcentral lists this non-coding RNA (25 nucleotides) under Mus musculus (house mouse). Lineage: Eukaryota; Metazoa; Chordata; Mammalia; Rodentia; Muridae. The record is from RNAcentral.